RNAcentral lists this ribosomal RNA (2888 nucleotides) under Coxiella burnetii CbuG_Q212. Its description in RNAcentral is "Large Subunit Ribosomal RNA". It matches the Rfam family "Bacterial large subunit ribosomal RNA", at positions 905 to 2925 of the family's 2925-position model. Lineage: Bacteria; Pseudomonadati; Pseudomonadota; Gammaproteobacteria; Legionellales; Coxiellaceae. The record is from RNAcentral.
CGAUAUUGUUUUGAUUUAGGUUAUUUGAAUGACAAAACCUGGGUAGACUUCCGCAAUAACUAUCAGGAUAUUGCGAAAAUGCUAAAGGGUUUGCACAAAAGCUGGAGUUAAUUUUUAUCUUUCUGUCCUCAGUCUUCUGCCAUCUGUCUUCUGAUGGGUAGAGGAGCGUUCUGUAAGCCUGUGAAGGUGAAUCGAGAGGUUUGCUGGAGGCAUCAGAAGUGCGAAUGCUGACAUAAGUAACGAUAAUGUGGGUGAAAAACCCACACGCCGAAAGUCUAAGGUUUCCUGCGCAACGUUAAUCGGCGCAGGGUGAGUCGGCCCCUAAGGCGAGGCAGAAAUGCGUAGUCGAUGGGAAACGGGUUAAUAUUCCCGUACUUUACAAUACUGCGAUGGGAGGACGGAGAAGGCUAGGUCAGCCACCCGAUGGUUGUGGUGGUUUAAGUGUGUAGGAAGGGUUCUUUGGCAAAUCCGGGAACUCAAUUCCGAGACAUGAUGACGAAGUACGAACUUGUUCGUGCAAAGUGAUUGAUGCCACGCUUCCAGGAAAAGUCCCUAAGCUUCAGGUAUUGUAAAACCGUACUAUAAACCGACACAGGUGGACAGGUAGAGAAUACCAAGGCGCUUGAGAGAACUUGGGUGAAGGAACUAGGCAAAAUGGCACCGUAACUUCGGGAGAAGGUGCGCCCUUGGUAAGUGAAGGUCCUUGCGACUGGAGCUGAAAAGGGUUGCAGAUACCAGGUGGCUGCGACUGUUUACUAAAAACACAGCACUCUGCAAACUCGUAAGAGGACGUAUAGGGUGUGACGCCUGCCCGGUGCCGGAAGGUUAAGUGAUGGGGUUAGCCCUCGGGCGAAGCUCUUGAUCGAAGCCCCGGUAAACGGCGGCCGUAACUAUAAAUUAACCGUUGUAGUUACGUAAAUAAACUUGGCUAUAUGCUGGAAACUCCGAGUAUCCUCCAGUACUCAUCUCAACUAAAAUUGAGGUAGUAAAAAUCUGCGAGGUGCGGACAAUCAGCAGGAAAGACUAAUCUUUUUGAUUAGAAUCCUCAGAGACUAAUACGCCGAGCGUACUUAGAAAAAAUCCAUUCUAAGUGUGAUGAUAGAGUCCGAUCUCUAUAGCGAUAUAGAGGGUUUUCAAAAGAAACCUGUUAAUCAUUAUCCCAUGAUUAACAUAACGUCAAUAAACGGUCCUAAGGUAGCGAAAUUCCUUGUCGGGUAAAAAAUUGCCCCGCUAAACUGUAAAGUUUAGUGAUAAAGUCAGCUCAUAUCGGGGGAACCCUCCUGCUUUUUAGCAAAGGGCAAUCCCGAGGGAAGUCUUAAAUGACCCCGUAACGACUGAUCCGAAAGGUGAGGCACGCAUUUGUGUGCAAUACGCUGACUUCUUGCCCUUGGGUUUAUACUCAAGAAGUAAGUGACUAUGGAGAAUUUAUUUAUGUAUUUACAUUUAGAGCCAUGGUAUGUAAGUGGUUUAACAGAAGGAGAAGGGUGUUUUUCGAUAUCAUUUAACUUCAGAAAAAAGUUAAAAAUUGGUAUUGAAACAAGACCAUCUUUUUCCAUCACGUUAAAUCAAAGAGAUUUACCUCUCUUAAAAGAGAUACAUUCGUUUUUUGAAUGUGGAGUAAUUAGAUUUUCACGAGGGGAUCGUACGUAUAAAUAUGAAGUCCGUUCCGUAAAAGAUCUUGUGAAGCGAAUAAUUCCACACUUCGAUAACUAUCCUCUUAGAGGAGGUAAACAAAAAGAUUUUCGAUAUUUUUCUGAAAUCUGUAAAAAAAUACAUACCAAUUUUCAUUUAAAUAAACAACAUUUAAUUGAAAUAAUAAAAAUGGCUUAUCUGAUGAAUCCAUCAGGUAAACGUAGGCAUGAAAUAAAUGAUCUCCUAAGGUUGCUUGGUGAGAAAAUGGUAUAGUCUACUCCCUAUGGAAACAUAGGAAAGAGUGAAGUUCCGACCUGCACGAAUGGCGUAACGAUAGCCACGCUGUCUCCACCCAAGACUCAGUGAAAUUGAAAUCGCUGUGAAGAUGCAGCGUACCCGCGGCUAGACGGAAAGACCCCGUGAACCUUUACUACAGCUUUACACUGAACUUUGAAUAUGCCUGUGUAGGAUAGGUGGGAGGCUUUGAAGCUGGAGCGCUAGCUCCAGUGGAGCCAACCUUGAAAUACCACCCUGGCGUGUUUGAGGUUCUAACCCUGUCCCGUAAUCCGGGUCGGGAACAGUGUAUGGUGGGUAGUUUGACUGGGGCGGUCUCCUCCAAAAGAGUAACGGAGGAGUACAAAGGUACCCUCAGCACGGUCGGAAAUCGUGCAUUGUGUGCAAAGGCAUAAGGGUGCUUGACUGCGAGACUGACAAGUCGAGCAGGUACGAAAGUAGGUCUUAGUGAUCCGGUGGUCCUUUAUGGAAGGGCCAUCGCUCAACGGAUAAAAGGUACUCCGGGGAUAACAGGCUGAUACCACCCAAGAGUUCAUAUCGACGGUGGUGUUUGGCACCUCGAUGUCGGCUCAUCACAUCCUGGGGCUGUAGCCGGUCCCAAGGGUAUGGCUGUUCGCCAUUUAAAGUGGUACGUGAGCUGGGUUUAGAACGUCGUGAGACAGUUCGGUCCCUAUCUGCCGUGGGCGUUGGAGAUUUGAGAGGAGCUGCUCCUAGUACGAGAGGACCGGAGUGGACGUACCUCUGGUGUUCCGGUUGUCACGCCAGUGGCAUUGCCGGGUAGCUAAGUACGGACGGGAUAACCGCUGAAAGCAUCUAAGCGGGAAGCCCCCCUCAAGAUGAGAUCUCCCGGACCUUUAAGGUCCCUAAAGAUUCGUUGAAGACGACAACGUUGAUAGGCAGGGUGUGGAAGCUCAGUAAUGAGUGAAGCUAACCUGUACUAAUUAAUCGUGCGACUUGACUAU